GUUGUGUCGUCUGUUUGUUUACUCUUAUGAAACUUCACUUUUUAUUCAAAAUGGUCGUAAAGGGUAUACCAUGUGUGGUGUGCCAUGUCACAAUUGGUUUAUCACACAUUUCCGAAGAACAAGAAAAGAGCCCUUGAGUGGGUUAAUGCCUUGAGACAUGAUCCGCUCAGAGAAAAAAAGCUUAGACCAAAUAAGAAGUAAUCGUUUAUGCUCGCUACAUUUCUCGGGGCAAAUUAUGUCCAAGGCAACACCAGCUCUAGGUUGAGAUGGGAUGCAUGUCCUGACACAUUUUUGGGUAAUGGAAAUAUGGAUGUUCUUCCCCCAUCAAUUAAUGACAAAGAUCAGUCAGAAUUUGCCUCUUAUUCUGGUAAAUUAAAGGAAUGCUCCGCA
This is a long non-coding RNA of Penaeus monodon (black tiger shrimp), 390 nucleotides long. RefSeq lists it as uncharacterized. Lineage: Eukaryota; Metazoa; Arthropoda; Malacostraca; Decapoda; Penaeidae. The record is from RefSeq and is a predicted model, not a curated record. The transcript has 3 exons.